AAAGUGGAUUUUGCACAACUGCAUCAUUUAUAAUGGGGGUGAGUGGCUUAGAUUACUCCUAAGAAAGAGUAUGCUGUGUAUGUGUUGCACAAAUUCCUGUCCUUCAUGAAAAAUCAGACUCUUAAUUCAUAUUGAGAAUACUUGCGUAUAGAUUGUGCUAAUAUAUGUGAAUAGGAGGCAGUGAUCAAGUUCAUUUUAAGGUAUGAGCUGACAUCUAAAGUGGCUCGCAGCCUGAAUUUGACAAAUGUGUAACCACAAGAUCCAGAACAUUCCUAUCAGCCUGUUGGAGUCUCAUACAUGCCAUUUUCUAGGAAACCCACUCUCAACAGGAACCACUUUCUGCUUUGUGUUAGGAUAGAUUAAUUUUGCUUCUUGUAGAAUUUCAUAUAAAUGGAGUCAGAGUUAGUGUUCUUGUGUGUCUGGCUGCUCU
RNAcentral lists this long non-coding RNA (430 nucleotides) under Pan troglodytes (chimpanzee). RNAcentral's name for it is "long non-coding RNA NONPTRT009270". The record is from RNAcentral. Lineage: Eukaryota; Metazoa; Chordata; Mammalia; Primates; Hominidae.